AUUGAACGCUGGCGGAAUGCAUUACACAUGCAAGUCGAACGGCAGCACGGGUGCUUGCACCUGGUGGCGAGUGGCGAACGGGUGAGUAAUGCGUCGGAACGUACCGAGUAAUGGAGGAUAACGCGGCGAAAGUCGCGCUAAUACCGCAUACGCCCUGAGGGGGAUAGUGGGGGACCGCAAGGCCUCACGUUAUUCGAGCGGCCGACGUCUGAUUAGCUGGUUGGUGGGGUAAUGGCCUACCAAAGCGACGAUCAGUAGCGGGUCUGAGAGGAUGAUCCGCCACACUGGGACUGAGACACGGCCCAGACUCCUACGGGAGGCAGCAGUGCGGAAUUUUGGACAAUGGGGGCAACCCUGAUCCAGCCAUUCCGCGUGAGUGAAGAAGGCCUUCGGGUUGUAAAGCUCUUUCAGCCGGGACGAAACGGUACGCGCUAACAUCGCGUGCUAAUGACGGUACCGGCAGAAGAAGCACCGGCUAACUACGUGCCAGCAGCCUCGGUAAUACGUAGGGUGCGAGCGUUAAUCGGAAUUACUGGGCGUAAAGCGUGCGCAGGCGGAUUAUUAAGCAAGACGUGACAUCCCCGGGCUCAACCUGGGAACUGCGCUUGUGACUGCAAGGCUAGAGUACGGCAGAGGCGGGUGGAAUUCCACGUGUAGCAGUGAAUUGCGUAGAGAUGUGGAGGAACACCAAUGGCGAAGGCAGCCCCCUGGGUCGAUACUGACGCUCAUGCACGAAAGCGUGGAUAGCAAACAGGAUUAGAUACCCUGGUAGUCCACGCCCUAAACGAUGUCAACUAGGUGUUGGGUGGGUAAAACCAUUUAGUACCGGAGCUAACGCGUGAAGUUGACCGCCUGCGGAGUACGGCCGCAAGGUUAAAAC
RNAcentral lists this ribosomal RNA (880 nucleotides) under uncultured bacterium. Its description in RNAcentral is "bacterial SSU rRNA". It matches the Rfam family "Bacterial small subunit ribosomal RNA", at positions 28 to 900 of the family's 1533-position model. The record is from RNAcentral.